AAGGAGUCUAACAUGUGCGCGAGUCUCCGGGUGAUCGAAACCCGUGGGCAGAAUGAAAGUAAAGGCAGCCUCGGCUGCUGAGGUGAGAAGCAUCCCAUCGCGGAUGCCGCAUCAUCGACCGACCUAUUCUACUCUUAGAAAGGUUUGAGUAAGAGCGUACCUGUUGGGACCCGAAAGAUGGUGAACUAUGCCUGAAUAGGGUGAAGCCAGCGGAAACACUGGUGGAAGCUCGUAGCGAUUCUGACGUGCAAAUCGAUCGUCGAAUUUGGGUAUAGCGGCGAAAGACUAAUCGAACCAUCUAGUAGCUGGUUCCCUCCGAAGUUUCCCUUAGGAUAGCUGGAGCUCGGAUGCAGUUUUAUCAGGUAAAGCGAAUGAUUAGAGGUCUUAGGGUCGAAAUGACCUUAACCUAUUCUCAAACUUUAAAUUGGUAAGAAGUCUGACUUGCUUAACACAUUGAAGCCAGACAUUCGAAUGCGAGUUCUUAGUGGGCCAUUUUUGGUAAGCAGAACUGGCGAUGCGGGAUGAACCGAACGCGGAGUUAAGGUGCCCAAGUCGACGCUCAUCAGACCCCACAAAAGGUGUUGGUUGAUAUUGACAGCAGGACGGUGGCCAUGGAAGUCGGAAU
Molecule: ribosomal RNA, 625 nt
Filed under: Tokoprymno sp. B LFD-2015
Lineage: Eukaryota; Metazoa; Cnidaria; Anthozoa; Scleralcyonacea; Primnoidae
Description: eukaryotic LSU rRNA
Rfam family: Eukaryotic large subunit ribosomal RNA
Source: RNAcentral